CCCUUAGAUGUUCUGGGCCGCACGCGCGCUACACUGAUGCAUUCAACGAGCCUAUCCUUGACCGACAGGUCCGGGUAAUCUUUGAAUCUGCAUCGUGACGGGGAUAGAUUAUUGCAAUUAUUAAUCUUCAACGAGGAAUGCCUAGUAGGCGCAAGUCAUCAGCUUGCGUCGAUUACGUCCCUGCCCUUUGUACACACCGCCCGUCGCUCCUACCGAUUGGGUGUGCUGGUGAAAUGUUCGGAUCGGCCGUUUGUCGCGGUUUCCGCGGCUCGUGGCUGAGAAGUUCAUUAAACCCUCCCACCUAGAGGAAGGGGAAGUCGUAACA
This 325-nucleotide ribosomal RNA is filed under the name uncultured eukaryote. Its description in RNAcentral is "partial 18S ribosomal RNA". It matches the Rfam family "Eukaryotic small subunit ribosomal RNA", at positions 1470 to 1796 of the family's 1831-position model. The record is from RNAcentral.